Molecule: ribosomal RNA, 529 nt
Filed under: uncultured Ralstonia sp.
Lineage: Bacteria; Pseudomonadati; Pseudomonadota; Betaproteobacteria; Burkholderiales; Burkholderiaceae
Description: bacterial SSU rRNA
Rfam family: Bacterial small subunit ribosomal RNA
Source: RNAcentral
AGAGUUUGAUCCUGGCUCAGAUUGAACGCUGGCGGCAUGCCUUACACAUGCAAGUCGAACGGCAGCAUGACCUAGCUUGCUAGAUUGAUGGCGAGUGGCGAACGGGUGAGUAAUACAUCGGAACGUGCCCUGUAGUGGGGGAUAACUAGUCGAAAGAUUAGCUAAUACCGCAUACGACCUGAGGGUGAAAGUGGGGGACCGCAAGGCCUCAUGCUAUAGGAGCGGCCGAUGUCUGAUUAGCUAGUUGGUGGGGUAAAGGCCCACCAAGGCGACGAUCAGUAGCUGGUCUGAGGGGACGAUCAGCCACACUGGGACUGAGACACGGCCCAGACUCCUACGGGAGGUAGCAGUGGGGAAUUUUGGACAAUGGGCGAAAGCCUGAUCCAGCAAUGCCGCGUGUGUGAAGAAGGCCUUCGGGUUGUAAAGCACUUUUGUCCGGAAAGAAAUGGCUCUGGUUAAUACCUGGGGUCGAUGACGGUACCGGAAGAAUAAGGACCGGCUAACUACGUGCCAGCAGCCGCGGUAAUAC